Molecule: long non-coding RNA, 475 nt
Organism: Anneissia japonica
Lineage: Eukaryota; Metazoa; Echinodermata; Crinoidea; Comatulida; Comatulidae
Exons: 3
Source: RefSeq, a predicted model, not a curated record
GCUAGUAUUUGAAACCCACCACGUAACAAAAAUUGAUUUUUGUUUUCAAAGCCCCUGUAAUACCAAUUGUUCGCACCAAGACCGUUAGUGUAUGUGAUAGUAACGUUACAUUGAGCGUAAAUCAAUCUAGUGGAAGUAAUGAAAGCUUACGAUGGGCGAAGAAUGGAGAAUAUAACGAAGAAUGGGAUGGGCUGACGGAGAUUUUAUUCGAAAUUACUACAUUGAAUGAUUCUGGGAUUUACGAAUGUUAUUUAAAUGGCAGCCGGAAUGAAGGAAAACACGCUUUUAUGCAGCUGAUAGUAAGAGAAUGUCCACAUAACAAAUGGUCUCCGCCGAAUUGUACUAUGGAGUGUGACGUUUGCUACAAUGGAGGGGUGUGCGAUACAUACAUCGGGACCUGCAUAUGUCUUUCGGGAUUUCAUGGAAGUAGAUGCGAAAAAUCUGCUGGUGGUAAUAAAUUUGGACGUGAUGGUAA